CUAAAUCACGUGUAAAUGCAGGGAGAAGUGAUGCUGGGAGACGUGUGCAUGGUGGUGUGCAUGCAGAAUCCAACACAGAAGAGGGAAGAGUGCGAAGACCACCACGCUGGAUGCAAGAUUACAUUGGUAGUGAACAACUAUCUGAAGCAGAUGACUUUGCAUUUUUUGCUUUGUAUGCAGAUAAUGAUCCAUUAAGCUACACAGAAGCAGUGAAGAGUGACAUAUGGCAAAGAGCUAUGGAAGCAGAAUUGAAUGCUAUUGAAAGGAAUGACACAUGGGAGCUCACCAUGCUGCCUGCAGGAGGAAAAGUAGUGGGAGUUAAAUGGAUUUUCAAGACAAAAUUGAAUGAGAACGGUGAGGUGGAUAAACACAAAGCUCGUCUAGUAGCAAAGGGAUAUACGCAACAACAUGGAAUAGACUAUGCUGAAGUCUUUGCACCGGUAGCUCGGUUGGAUACCAUUCGAUUAGUCAUCUCAAUUGCAGCUCAAAAGGGAUGGGUUAUCUAUCAAUUGGACGUGAAAUCGGCUUUCUUGCAUGGGGAGUUAAAUGAAGAAGUUUAUGUUGCUCAGCCUCCUGGAUAUGAGAAGAAAGGAAAAGAGCAAAUGGUAUACAAGCUAGAGAAAGCACUGUAUGGACUCAAACAGGCCCCUCGCGCCUGGUAUAGCCGAAUCGAAUCAUACUUUGCUGAUCAAGGCUUCAAGAAAUGUCCUUAUGAACAUACAUUGUUUAUAAAAACAGGAGAUGGAGGUAAUAUCUUGAUCGUAUGCCUUUAUGUUGACGAUUUAAUAUUCACCGGUAAUGAUGUGAAUAUGUUUGAUGAGUUUAAGCAAUCCAUGAUGAAUGAAUUUGAUAUGACUGAUUUGGGGAGGAUGAAAUACUUUCUGGGUAUUGAAGUUUUGCAAAGUUCAAAUGGAAUAUUUGUUGGGCAAAAGAAAUAUGCACAAUCAAUUUUGGAGAAAUUUAAGAUGGAUGGCUGCAAUUCUGUUAACAUUCCGAUUGUUCCUGGUAUGAAGCUUUGCAAGGAUCAUGGUGGAUCAAGAAUAGACAGCACACUAUACAAACAAAUUGUGGGUAGUCUAAUGUAUUUAACCUCCACUAGACCCGAUAUGAUGUUUGUUGUAAGUCUUCUCAGCAGGUACAUGGAAAGCCCCACUGAACUUCAUUUAAUGGCUGCAAAAAGGGUUUUCAGAUACCUAAAGGGGACUGUCAGUUAUGGGAUAUUCUACAAGAGAGGAGGACUUGAAGGGCUUAAUGUGUAUUCUGAUAGUGACUACGCUGGCGAUAUUGAAGAUCGGAAAAGCACGUCAGGUUAUGUCUUCAUGUUAAACUCAGGAGUUGUCUCAUGGUCUUCAAAGAAACAACCCAUAGUGACAUUGUCCACCACGGAAGUUGAGUUUAUAGCAGUAACAUCUUGUGCUUGUUAGGCAAUAUGGCUCCGGAGAAUUUUGCAGCAGCUGGGACAUAAUCAAGAAGGUCCUACGACAAUUCUUUGUGACAAUAGCUCUGCCAUCAAGCUUUGCAAAAAUUCAGUCUUACAUGGACGUAGUAAGCAUAUUGAUGUUCGGUUUCAUUUUAUUCGAGAGCUUACUAGCAUGGGUAUCAUAGAAGUAACACACUGUCCAACUCAAAGUCAAGUUGAGGAUAUAAUGACCAAACCAUUGAAGAAUGAUGCCUUUGUAAAAUUACGGGGUCUGAUGGGAGUUUGUUCUGUGUCAAGUGUAAACUGAUGCACUUGGCAUUCAGUUUAAGAGAGGAUGUUAAAUAUUAGGAUUUGAUUUACCAGUUAAACUGGGUUGUUAAUAAUUCCUAUUGUAUAGGAACACUUAGCUGUAGUUUGCUUAGCUGUAAUGUGUCUUUGUCUUUAACUGUCCAUGUUGCUCUCCACGUCACAAAAGGAGUGGGCACGUUUUUAGCUUAUUCAGUUUCUUUACAUUUGCUUUGCUUCUGUUUGUAAGGCUAUUAAAUAGCCACACAGUUAUUGUUCAAAUCUUCUGAGAUCAACACAGACAAGGGCAACAAAUGUUUAUGGGUACAUUAUGUAAGGACGACAGGUCGAUGGUGUGAUGUGAUUACUUGACUCAAGGAUUUGGAUUUAAUAAAUUUGAUUAAUGAUGUUUGAGAUUUUGACAAAACAUGUUGGAAGAUUUACUUGUAUGGAUAUGAUUAAGAUUGAUUACCAAACAUGGACGACCAUGUUUUUAAAUUUUAGUUGAACAAAAGUCCAAGAGGAGUGUUUCCACCAAUUUUCUCUCAUCCACUAGUUUCAUCCACAGCAUGUAUAGGAUUUGCUCGAAAGGUUAAAGCAUAGUGAUUUUCACAUGUGACUUUUUAAGUCUCUUUUGGCAUUGCAGUAAAAUUUUUCUUUUUAAAAUUUUUUGAAUUUUAAUUUUUUUUUGUAUGUAGGAUUUAUUUUGAAAUUAUGGUAUUAAAAAUAAUUUUUUUAAAAAAUAUUAUUUUAAUAUAUUUCUAAAUGAAAAAUAGUAUGAAAAACAACUUCUAUUAUAUUUUUAAACAAACUCUUAGCAUAAUUGUCAAAUCUAGUUUAGUAUUUGAUUUGGAUUAAAAUUUGAGCUAUAAAAUUAUUAAGUUAUUUAUGUUUAUUAUAUCAAUUGAAAUCUAUUAUUUUUAUCCAAAACAUAGUUAUUUCAAUUUUUUUAAUCUUGAUUUUAGCAUAAUCAAAUUUAAACGAAUUGAUCAAAUCAUAAAUUAAUUUAUUAUAUUUUUAUGAUUUGUUUUGAUAUUCUGGUAUUAAAAAUAAUUUUGUUUUUAAAAAAUAUUAUUUUAAUAUAUUUUUAAAUAAAAAAUAUUUUAAAAAAUAAUUUUUAAUACACUCAAACAAACUCUUAGUAUAAUUGUCAAAUCUAAUUUAAGAUUUGAUUCGGAUUACGAUAUGAGUUAUAAAGUUGUUAAGUUAUUUAUGUUUAUCAUAUCAAUCUAAAUUUAUUAUUUUUAUCCAAACAUAAUUAUUUCAAAAAAAAUUUAAUCUUGAUUUUGACCUGAUUAAAUUUGAACAAAUUGAUUAAAUUAUAUGUUAAUUUAUUAUAUCAUUUAAAUUUAAAUAAAUCAAUAUAAAAAAUAAUUCAAAUUAAAACCCGUCUAGAAUGCCACCAUAUUAGUCUGUCAGAACAAAGUUUAAGUAUAUUCAAACCUCAAAGAUUUUCAAGGGCAAUGAAAGGAAGAAAGAUUUUCAUUUAAUAUAUAUGUGAAUAAAUUAAACAGUUAUUCGUAUGUUUUUGUACACAAUAUAAUUAAUCUUCCAUUUAUAUAUAUGAAAUCUUUAUGGCCAAAUUAAGGAUAUAUUUGGACUAAUCUAAGCAUACUAAUAUUCAAUGCAUCUUUUGCAUUGAAGAUAACAAUGGAAGAGGAGUGAUGUGUGAUAGAAGGUAUAAAAACUUGUCUUAAUCUUCAAAUUAAUAACAUACUUUUGAGUACCAUAACAUAGAACAGAGAGCUGUUCUGGUUGGUGGGAGACUGUUAGGAUCCUUCAAUGUCUUAAAAAGAUGUAGAAACUCAAACUAGGAAAGGUACAAUGUUAGAUUCUUGCAGCAAAUAUUCUCUAUGGUCAAGGAUUGCAUGAUUUUCAUCCCAUCUCUAUACAAAAAAGACAGCGACAAUUAAAAUAAAAAUAGCAUGAUAUUGUGUUUUUAUUUUGAAAAAAUAAAAAUUUAAUAAAUUUAUUUUUAUAUUUUUAUGUCCCUCUACUCAAGUACAUUUAUAUUUGUCCUCUUUUUUUAUUUAAUCAGAACAGUAACCAAAAGCAGCUUUAUUUUGCCUGCUGAUUGAGGGCUGCAAUUCCCAUGAUACAAGCAUCAUUUAUCACAAAUGGCAAAUGCCUCACCCAACUAUUUAUUUCUUAGUACAAUUCAAAGAAUUCAGCAACUGCUAAAAAGGAAGAGUUAUGUUCCAAAUCCAUCAAACCAUGAAUCAUGUUUCAGAAAAGCCAGUUAUGGCUACAAGUAAGCAUUUAUAUUUCAAAACUUGUACUCCCAUUUAAGCCUAUUUCAACUGUUCCUGCAAAAUUACAAAAUAAACAAAAAAACCAUUCAUCCAUGUAGGGGAACAUGGCAUGGCUCACAUCCAGCAAGAAUCCUGAGGCCAUUGAUCUUUAACUGGAAAUGGGAUGUGUAUUUCAUGUGAUUUUUUUUUUAAUCAAGUGUGCUUUAAUGUGAUUAGAUAACUAAGAUUAUAUGGUUAAUUAACACACGGUGUUGUAAGAAGCUUCUCUUUUCUUGCUGAUCAAGAUCUGUGAGGUGGGGGGAAAGAGAAGGAGAGAGAGAGAGGGGAUGUCUCAAAGAUAGAACACAACAUUGCAGAGAAUAUGUAGAACAAGUAGUAACUUAAACAUAGAUCAUCUAUUGAUAGGGCUUGUAAUGUACAUAGUACUGGUUAAGGGUUUGAAAGCCAAGUUCUUCAUAGAUCAACUAGAUAAUUAAUGACAGACCUGAAACAUAGACACACUAACACAAGAAGAGGGCAUAAGCUUCAACACAAGCACACAAGACCAAGCAUAAACAUAGGAGAACAAACUGAAACAAGCUUAUUGAAACUUCCACGGCUAAAACGAGUCCAGACCCCUAAAUCAAGAGCCUCAAACCAGACCGCCACUAGACUAACUAGCUAGAGAUCCUGGCUAGUAAGUGCAGUCAAGACUCUUGCUCAUGGUGGUGAGCCAAUGGAACCAGUACCAGGGAUCCUGACACAACCAACCCCAGGGUAAGAGCAAUACCCUGUUGGCCCAAGCUGAAAGACAGGACCAUUAGGACUUGGGAUAAAGCCACCACUGGUACCAAAGCCUCCUAGAUAGUUCUGCGGUUGGUCAGCUUUCUCCUUGUCCUUGAGCUUCCUUCCUGCUUCAACAUUGGAGGCAAGAACCAGAAUGAAAAUGGCAAGGAUCAGUAGCAUCCUUUGAGUUCUCUCCAUCUUAGCACUUCUCUCAACACCUGGCAUUGACACACUCUCUACUUUUCUCUAGUCUUUCUCACUUGCAGUGUAAAGAACCCUAGCCACCCCCACCCAUCUUAUAGUACCCGAGGUUUCUAGUUUAAACAAGUGUAUAACCAACUCUUUUACAACACAGCAGUAGACAUGGAAAAGAGUUAGAUGGGAUAGUCACUAAUGAUGUAGCUAAAAAUUUAUGUCUUGGGUCCAUCCAUCACUGUCAAAAAAUCACUCCAUAAACCAUUCACCAGCUCAUAUUAUGUAAAAAUACUUCAAUAACCUUUACUUUAUCUAACACUAUUGAAG
Molecule: long non-coding RNA, 5244 nt
Filed under: Populus trichocarpa (black cottonwood)
Lineage: Eukaryota; Viridiplantae; Streptophyta; Magnoliopsida; Malpighiales; Salicaceae
Description: long non-coding RNA (PTRI_LNC001371)
Source: RNAcentral